Molecule: ribosomal RNA, 344 nt
Filed under: uncultured bacterium
Lineage: Bacteria
Description: bacterial SSU rRNA
Rfam family: Bacterial small subunit ribosomal RNA
Source: RNAcentral
AACGAACGCUGGCGGCAUGCCUAACACAUGCAAGUCGAACGAGACCUUCGGGUCUAGUGGCGCACGGGUGCGUAACGCGUGGGAAUCUGCCCUUUGCUUCGGAAUAACAGUUAGAAAUGACUGCUAAUACCGGAUGAUGUCUUCGGACCAAAGAUUUAUCGGCAAAGGAUGAGCCCGCGUAGGAUUAGGUAGUUGGUGGGGUAAAGGCCUACCAAGCCGACGAUCCUUAGCUGGUCCGAGAGGAUGAUCAGCCACACUGGGACUGAGACACGGCCCAGACUCCUACGGGAGGCAGCAGUGGGGGAAUAUUGGACAAUGGGCGCAAGCCUGAUCCAGCAAUGCCG